RNAcentral lists this ribosomal RNA (253 nucleotides) under uncultured bacterium. RNAcentral describes it as "partial 16S ribosomal RNA". It matches the Rfam family "Bacterial small subunit ribosomal RNA", at positions 524 to 776 of the family's 1533-position model. The record is from RNAcentral.
UACCGAGGGUGCGAACGUUGCCCGGAAUUACUGGGCGUAAAGCGCGUGUAGGCGGGUCGGCAAGUCAGGCGUGAAAUCCCCAGGCUCAACCUGGGAACUGCGCUUGAAACUGCCGGUCUUGAGUAUCGGAGAGGGUGGCGGAAUUCCUGGUGUAGAGGUGAAAUUCGUAGAUAUCAGGAGGAACACCGGUGGCGAAGGCGGCCACCUGGACGAUUACUGACGCUGAGACGCGAAAGCGUGGGGAGCAAACAGG